This 775-nucleotide ribosomal RNA is filed under the name uncultured Neocallimastigales. Its description in RNAcentral is "partial large subunit ribosomal RNA". It matches the Rfam family "Eukaryotic large subunit ribosomal RNA", at positions 24 to 633 of the family's 3401-position model. Lineage: Eukaryota; Fungi; Neocallimastigomycota; Neocallimastigomycetes; Neocallimastigales. The record is from RNAcentral.
UAUGUGAUCGUCUCUCGCAUAUCAAUAAGCGGAGGAAAAGAAACUAACAAGGAUUCCCCUAGUAACGGCGAGUGAAGCGGGAAGAGCUCAAAUUUGAAAUCUUAAAGGGUUUCCCUUUACGAAUUGUAGUUUAAAGAAGUGUUUUCUGUUGAGGUUUUGGUAAAAGUUCUUUGGAAUAGGACAUCAUAGAGGGUGAGAAUCCCGUAUUUGACCUUUACUUUCAACUUUGUGAUACUACUUUCAAAGAGUCGGAUUGUUUGGGAAUGCAGUCCAAAAUGGGUGGUAAAUUUCAUCUAAAGCUAAAUAUUGGCGAGAGACCGAUAGCGAACAAGUACCGUGAGGGAAAGAUGAAAAGAACUUUGAAAAGAGAGUUAAACAGUACGUGAAAUUGUCAAAAGGGAAGCGUUUGACACCAGUGUUGUUUUUCUGAAAAUCAAUUAAAGAACUGUUUAUGCUAAGUUGUUUAGACUUUAUCAGCUAACUGUUUAGUUUUGAGCUUUUCUUUAAUGCACUUUUCAGUUAACAAGUCAACAUCAAUUUCUUUUGCUGUAAAAAAGCUUGAGGAAGGUGGCUUGAGAUUCGUCUUAAGUGUCCAUAGCCUCUUGCCUAUGCAGUCGGAGAGAUUGAGGUCUGCAGCGUAGAUCCUUCGGGGCUAAAUGCAUUUGUGCUAAGUUAUAGCAUUUUAUAGACAACUUGUUGACUAUGAUUUGUCUUGUAGCUUACUCGCUUAUGUUAUUUUACCUACGCUUAGGAUGUUGAAGACUCUACAGAGAUA